AUGAUAUUUACACUGCCAAAUCAUACUAUAUAUAGACACUCGGUUGAAAAUAGGGUGAUACACCAACAUAACUUCAUAUGGAAAAUCAAAAUGCCUCCUACGGUCAAAGUUUUUAUGUGGCUGGUGUUGAGAAAGAGCAUCCUAACAAAAGACAAUCUACUGAGAAGGGGAUGGACUGGGGAUAAAAAAUGUCCUUUUCAUAUGCAAGAUGAAAGCAUAAACCAUCUUUUCUUGAAAUGCUCUUUUGUUAGGUUGUUGUGGAACAUUAUGCAAUGUGCAUUUGGUCUACAGAACAUACCUGAUAACAUUCAUGAUUUGUUCAAUGUGUGGCUGGGGAACUUUAAUAAACAUGAGAAAAACUUAGUGAUUGUUAGGAUUUCUGCCAUAUGUUGGACAAUUUGA
Molecule: ribosomal RNA, 402 nt
Filed under: Triticum aestivum (bread wheat)
Lineage: Eukaryota; Viridiplantae; Streptophyta; Magnoliopsida; Poales; Poaceae
Description: partial small subunit ribosomal RNA
Source: RNAcentral